UGCUAGAUAAGACGAGUGGCGAUAGCAAGGUGUUAUCGCCGAUGGUGGUCUCACACGUGCUGUUUCCCUCUUUACUGCGAGGGAACUUGAGGCUUAUAUAACCCGCAGCGGUAUCCAGCGCCAUAAAGGACAGCCAUCCUGACGACUGGUGUGAGCAACAGCAGCCGCGAGCGGCGGAGGGGUUCCUACGGCAAUCUACUGCAAUCUACUGCAGGGAAUGGCGAUAGGAAUUCUAGCUCCCUCGACAGUACGGUGGACGAACCUGCGCCGGCGGCACAGGACCUGUUGCUACAGCAGAUGACUUCACUCCGUACGCUGUCUCAACAGCUCGGCAGCUCCUCAGCCGUCCUCGGACACCCCGUUGCGCAUGAACUUGACGCUUUCCAGCCACAGCGACCCAGGUCAGAAGACUUCCUCAUCGACUUGGACGCUUGCCAUAGGGAAGUCCGAGUCACCGACGAGAUCGUCCGGCGUAGAGUAUACUGUCCGCAGCUCUUGGAUGACUGUCCUUCCCGUGACGUCUUGCACUUGCCAAACGUUUGAAAACGUGGGAGUGUUGCGGAUAGCAAGGUGUUAUCGCUGAUAACCCCCUUUAUUUCCCAAUUCUUUUCUUUUUAAUUUGCUUGUUUAAUUUUCCUUUGUUCAUUUUUUUUUUUUUUUUUUUGCGGAAUAGCAAGUUGACAUGUCGUCUGGCUGACCUUUCCUCCCCCUUUUUGUUCUAAUAAAUAUCCCCCCCCUUC
Long non-coding RNA from Ornithodoros turicata, 740 nucleotides. RefSeq lists it as uncharacterized. The transcript has 2 exons. The record is from RefSeq and is a predicted model, not a curated record. Lineage: Eukaryota; Metazoa; Arthropoda; Arachnida; Ixodida; Argasidae.